Molecule: ribosomal RNA, 253 nt
Filed under: uncultured bacterium
Lineage: Bacteria
Description: partial 16S ribosomal RNA
Rfam family: Bacterial small subunit ribosomal RNA
Source: RNAcentral
UACGUAGGGUGCAAGCGUUAAUCGGAAUUACUGGGCGUAAAGCGUGCGCAGGCGGUUCGUUGUGUCGGCGGUGAAAGCCCCGGGCUUAACCUGGGAAUGGCCGUUGAAACUGGCGAACUGGAGUGUGGCAGAGGGGGGUGGAAUUCCGCGUGUAGCAGUGAAAUGCGUAGAGAUGCGGAGGAACACCGAUGGCGAAGGCAAUCCCCUGGGCCUGCACUGACGCUCAUGCACGAAAGCGUGGGGAGCAAACAGG